UUGGAGGGCAAGUCUGGUGCCAGCAGCCGCGGUAAUCCCAGCUCCAAUAGCGUAUAUUAAAGUUGUUGCAGUUAAAAAGCUCGUAGUUGAAUUUCGGGGUUAGUAGGUUGGUCAUGCCACUGGUAUGUACUGGUCUCACUGAUUCCUCCUUCCUGAUGAGCCGUAAUGCCAUUAAUUUGGUGUUGCGGGGAAUCUGGACUGUUACUUUGAAAAAAUUAGAGUGUUUAAAGCAAGCUAACGCUUGAAUACAUUAGCAUGGAAUAAUGAAAUAGGACGUUCGAUCCUAUUUUGUUGGUUUCUAGGAUUGACGUAAUGAUUAAUAGGGAUAGUUGGGGGCAUUAGUAUUCAAUUGUCAGAGGUGAAAUUCUUGGAUUUAUUGAAGACUAACUACUGCGAAAGCAUUUGCCAAGGAUGUUUUCAUUAAUCAAGAACGAAAGUUAGGGGAUCGAAGACGAUCAGAUACCGUCGUAGUCUUAACCAUAAACUAUGCCGACUAGGGAUCGGAUGAUGUUAAUUUUUUAAUGACUCAUUCGGCGCCUUACGGGAAACCAAAGUGUUUGGGUUC
This 565-nucleotide ribosomal RNA is filed under the name uncultured Glomeromycotina. RNAcentral's name for it is "SSU rRNA". It matches the Rfam family "Eukaryotic small subunit ribosomal RNA", at positions 548 to 1114 of the family's 1831-position model. The record is from RNAcentral. Lineage: Eukaryota; Fungi; Glomeromycota.